Molecule: ribosomal RNA, 394 nt
Filed under: Vibrio cholerae
Lineage: Bacteria; Pseudomonadati; Pseudomonadota; Gammaproteobacteria; Vibrionales; Vibrionaceae
Description: partial 23S ribosomal RNA
Rfam family: Bacterial large subunit ribosomal RNA
Source: RNAcentral
GAUCUAGCCAUGGGCAGGUUGAAGGUUGAGUAACAUCAACUGGAGGACCGAACCGACUAAUGUUGAAAAAUUAGCGGAUGACUUGUGGCUAGGGGUGAAAGGCCAAUCAAACUCGGAGAUAGCUGGUUCUCCCCGAAAGCUAUUUAGGUAGCGCCUCGGACGAAUACCGUGGAGAGGGAAACAACCCAGACCGCCAGCUAAGGUCCCAAAGUAUUGCUAAGUGGGAAACGAUGUGGGAAGGCUCAGACAGCUAGGAUGUUGGCUUAGAAGCAGCCAUCAUUUAAAGAAAGCGUAAUAGCUCACUAGUCGAGUCGGCCUGCGCGGAAGAUGUAACGGGGCUAAGCAAUACACCGAAGCUGCGGCAAUGUCUUUUAGACAUUGGGUAGGGGAGCGU